This 1075-nucleotide ribosomal RNA is filed under the name Microbacterium sp. RNAcentral describes it as "bacterial SSU rRNA". It matches the Rfam family "Bacterial small subunit ribosomal RNA", at positions 60 to 1144 of the family's 1533-position model. The record is from RNAcentral. Lineage: Bacteria; Bacillati; Actinomycetota; Actinomycetes; Micrococcales; Microbacteriaceae.
AGUCGAACGGUGAACACGGAGCUUGCUCUGUGGGAUCAGUGGCGAACGGGUGAGUAACACGUGAGCAACCUGCCCCUGACUCUGGGAUAAGCGCUGGAAACGGCGUCUAAUACUGGAUACGAGUAGCGACCGCAUGGUCAGUUACUGGAAAGAUUUAUUGGUUGGGGAUGGGCUCGCGGCCUAUCAGCUUGUUGGUGAGGUAAUGGCUCACCAAGGCGUCGACGGGUAGCCGGCCUGAGAGGGUGACCGGCCACACUGGGACUGAGACACGGCCCAGACUCCUACGGGAGGCAGCAGUGGGGAAUAUUGCACAAUGGGCGCAAGCCUGAUGCAGCAACGCCGCGUGAGGGAUGACGGCCUUCGGGUUGUAAACCUCUUUUAGCAGGGAAGAAGCGAAAGUGACGGUACCUGCAGAAAAAGCGCCGGCUAACUACGUGCCAGCAGCCGCGGUAAUACGUAGGGCGCAAGCGUUAUCCGGAAUUAUUGGGCGUAAAGAGCUCGUAGGCGGUUUGUCGCGUCUGCUGUGAAAUCCGGAGGCUCAACCUCCGGCCUGCAGUGGGUACGGGCAGACUAGAGUGCGGUAGGGGAGAUUGGAAUUCCUGGUGUAGCGGUGGAAUGCGCAGAUAUCAGGAGGAACACCGAUGGCGAAGGCAGAUCUCUGGGCCGUAACUGACGCUGAGGAGCGAAAGGGUGGGGAGCAAACAGGCUUAGAUACCCUGGUAGUCCACCCCGUAAACGUUGGGAACUAGUUGUGGGGUCCAUUCCACGGAUUCCGUGACGCAGCUAACGCAUUAAGUUCCCCGCCUGGGGAGUACGGCCGCAAGGCUAAAACUCAAAGGAAUUGACGGGGACCCGCACAAGCGGCGGAGCAUGCGGAUUAAUUCGAUGCAACGCGAAGAACCUUACCAAGGCUUGACAUAUACGAGAACGGGCCAGAAAUGGUCAACUCUUUGGACACUCGUAAACAGGUGGUGCAUGGUUGUCGUCAGCUCGUGUCGUGAGAUGUUGGGUUAAGUCCCGCAACGAGCGCAACCCUCGUUCUAUGUUGCCAGCACGUAAUGGUGGGAACUCAUGG